RNAcentral lists this transfer RNA (64 nucleotides) under Cavia porcellus (domestic guinea pig). It matches the Rfam family "tRNA", at positions 1 to 62 of the family's 71-position model. From Rfam's summary of the family: Transfer RNA (tRNA) molecules are approximately 80 nucleotides in length. Their secondary structure includes four short double-helical elements and three loops (D, anti-codon, and T loops). Further hydrogen bonds mediate the characteristic L-shaped molecular structure. tRNAs have two regions of fundamental functional importance: the anti-codon, which is responsible for specific mRNA codon recognition, and the 3' end, to which the tRNAs corresponding amino acid is attached (by aminoacyl-tRNA synthetases). tRNAs cope with the degeneracy of the genetic code in two manners: having more than one tRNA (with a specific anti-codon) for a particular amino acid; and 'wobble' base-pairing, i.e. permitting non-standard base-pairing at the 3rd anti-codon position. The record is from Rfam by way of RNAcentral. Lineage: Eukaryota; Metazoa; Chordata; Mammalia; Rodentia; Caviidae.
GGGGAUUUAGCUCAGCGGCAUAAGCGCCUGCCUUGCAAGCAGGCAGUUGUGAGUUCAAACCCCG